UACGUAGGGUGCAGGCGUUAAUCGGAAUUACUGGGCGUAAAGCGUGCGCAGGCGGUUUCUUAAGUCAGAUGUGAAAGCCCCGGGCUUAACCUGGGAACUGCGUUUGAAACUGGGAGACUUGAGUGUGGCAGAGGGGGGUGGAAUUCCCGGUGUAGCAGUGAAAUGCGUAGAGAUCGGGAGGAACACCAGUGGCGAAGGCGGCUACCUGGACCAGCACUGACACUGAGGCACGAAAGCGUGGGGAGCAAACAGG
This 253-nucleotide ribosomal RNA is filed under the name uncultured bacterium. Its description in RNAcentral is "partial 16S ribosomal RNA". It matches the Rfam family "Bacterial small subunit ribosomal RNA", at positions 524 to 776 of the family's 1533-position model. The record is from RNAcentral.